AGGGUUGGGACUGAACCUCACCCAAUUUCCCUCUUCUGAGCCAAAAAACCCCAAAGUGAGACCUCCAAAAAUUGGGAAAAAAGGUGGAGAGGAGCAGGAGAUGAAUCUCACUCAAUUUCCCUCUUCUCAACCUAAAACAACCCAAGGUGAGACCUCUAAAAAUUGGGGAAAAAAGUGGAAAGGAGCAGGAGAUGAACCUUGCCCAAUUUCCCUCUUCUCAACCUAAAACAGCUCAAGGUGAGACCUCCAAAAAUCAGGAGAAAAAGUGGAGAGGAGCAGGAGAUGAACCUUGCCCAAUUUCCCUCUUUUCAACCUAAAAACAGCCCAAGGUGAGACCUCAAAAAAUUGGGAGAAUUUGGGAGAAUUGGAGAGGAGCAGGAGCUGAAGGCAGAGCUGGAGAACAUCUGGACCAGAGAUGGACCUCAGCACUCCACCGACAGCUCUCCACGGCCACAAGAGAUCCGUGGCAGUCCUGGAUCCCAAAAUCCGUCCCAAAUCCACCCCCUGGAGCUGCUCCAUCAUCCCCUGACCCUGAAACCAUCCCAAAAUCUCCAUCCCGUGGGAUGAGGAGCUCCUGGCGCUCACCGGAUUGGUGGAGGAGCACGAAGGUGGCGAGAAACUGGAUCCAAAAUGCGUCCAUGGGCAUCAGGAGCACGGAGAGGAUCGGGACGGCCGAGAACGCGAGAGCCAAGGCGAUGAAGAGGAAGAGGAAGAGCGUCCGCGUGGUUUUCCGGCAGCUGGGGGAGGCGGAGAGUUGCGUCCCCGCGGGCUCCCUUGGGAAAUCGGGACCGCGGGACGAGAUCCCGGCGUGAAAUUCCGCAGGGAUGAGGUCGGAGUCCAAAUCCGAGGUGGGAGUCACCGUUCCCGGGGUCCACAGGUGUGGGGAUGAGCAUUCCC
Long non-coding RNA from Poecile atricapillus (Black-capped chickadee), 897 nucleotides. RefSeq lists it as uncharacterized. NCBI's taxonomy places the organism in Eukaryota, Metazoa, Chordata, Aves, Passeriformes, Paridae. The transcript is spliced from 3 exons. The record is from RefSeq and is a predicted model, not a curated record.